Meleagris gallopavo (turkey) is the source of this 583-nucleotide non-coding RNA. The record is from RefSeq and is a predicted model, not a curated record. NCBI's taxonomy places the organism in Eukaryota, Metazoa, Chordata, Aves, Galliformes, Phasianidae.
UCUGGAGGUGGGUUUUUAACAAGCAAGAGGGGGUCACCAUCAGCAAACUGCAUCCAUCGUAGCACAUAGCUUUUAUAAAAGCCCUAGAUGAUCAUUUUCCUGAAGAAUCGCCUUGAUGAAGAAGUCAGAGCCUCUUUCUCUGCACCACGGUAGGUUCAGGGUGGAUAUUAGGUGUGUGGGAACUGUUAGGUCAUAGUCUGAACCAGCAAUUGAGCACCUGCUGAAGGCAUGUGGCCAGCCCUGGGAGCACAGGUGGAAGCAAUUCACCUGUGUGAUUGGAAGGAGUGCACCCUGGGUCCACCCCUCCCUAAACUUAUUUAAGGACUGGAAGGAGAGCAUCUCUGCUUGGAAAUCGCCUUUUUGAGAGUUUUCAGCAAGCCCUGAUCCUUGGAAAGGGCAAUAUUGUCCUUGCUGGCAGGGAGAAUGGAAGAUAAAGUUGGAGACACUCGUAACAAAACUUAAAGUAGGUGUCCCCAGCCUGCAAGAGACUUUCCAGGUUUAUUCCAGGAGGAACCAUUUGCCACCCGAGGAAUGCCUCUCUGGGGGUGACUGGGAGCAUGCUGGAGCCACAGCCCUUGGGGGG